AUUGAACGCUGGCGGCAGGCCUAACACAUGCAAGUCGAGCGGCAGAAGGGAGCUUGCUCCUGGAUUCAGCGGCGGACGGGCGAGUAAUGCCUAGGAAUCUGCCUGGUAGUGGGGGAUAACGUCCGGAAACGGGCGCUAAUACCGCAUACGUCCUGAGGGCGUAAGUGGGGGAUCUUCGGACCUUACGCUAUCAGAUGAGCCUAGGUCGGAUUAGCUAGUUGGUGGGGUAAAGGCCUACCAAGGCGACGAUCCGUAACUGGUCUGAGAGGAUGAUCAGUCACACUGGAACUGAGACACGGUCCAGACUCCUACGGGAGGCAGCAGUGGGGAAUAUUGGACAAUGGGCGAAAGCCUGAUCCAGCCAUGCCGCGUGUGUGAAGAAGGUCUUCGGAUUGUAAAGCACUUUAAGUUGGGAGGAAGGGCAGUAAGUUAAUACCUUGCUGUUUUGACGUUACCAACAGAAUAAGCACCGGCUAACUUCGUG
RNAcentral lists this ribosomal RNA (484 nucleotides) under uncultured bacterium. RNAcentral's name for it is "partial 16S ribosomal RNA". It matches the Rfam family "Bacterial small subunit ribosomal RNA", at positions 30 to 507 of the family's 1533-position model. The record is from RNAcentral.